This 823-nucleotide ribosomal RNA is filed under the name uncultured bacterium. RNAcentral describes it as "bacterial SSU rRNA". It matches the Rfam family "Bacterial small subunit ribosomal RNA", at positions 20 to 890 of the family's 1533-position model. The record is from RNAcentral.
UGGCUCAGAGCGAACGCUGGCGGCAGGCCUAACACAUGCAAGUCGAACGGACCCUUCGGGGUUAGUGGCGGACGGGUGAGUAACACGUGGGAACGUGCCCUUUGGUUCGGAACAACACAGGGAAACUUGUGCUAAUACCGGAUAAGCCCUUCGGGGGAAAGAUUUAUUGCCAAAGGAGCGGCCCGCGUUGGAUUAGGUAGUUGGUGAGGUAAAGGCUCACCAAGCCUGCGAUCCAUAGCUGGUCUGAGAGGAUGAUCAGCCACAUUGGGACUGAGACACGGCCCAAACUCCUACGGGAGGCAGCAGUGGGGAAUCUUGCGCAAUGGGCGAAAGCCUGACGCAGCCAUGCCGCGUGAAUGAUGAAGGUCUUAGGAUUGUAAAAUUCUUUCAGCGGGGACGAUAAUGACGGUACCCGCAGAAGAAGCCCCGGCUAACUUCGUGCCAGCAGCCGCGGUAAUACGAAGGGGGCUAGCGUUGCUCGGAAUUACUGGGCGUAAAGGGAGCGUAGGCGGAUAGUUUAGUCAGAGGUGAAAGCCCAGGGCUCAACCUUGGAAAUGCCUUUGAUACUGGCUAUCUUGAGUAUGGGAGAGGUAAGCGGAAUUCCGAGUGUAGAGGUGAAAUUCGUAGAUAUUCGGAAGAACACCAGUGGCGAAGGCGGCUUACUGGCCCAUUACUGACGCUGAGGCUCGAAAGCGUGGGGAGCAAACAGGAUUAGAUACCCUGGUAGUCCACGCUGUAAACGACGAGUGCUAGUUGUCGGCAUGCAUGCAUGUCGGUGACGCAGCUAACGCCUUAAGCACUCCGCCUGGGGAGUACGGUCGCA